This 393-nucleotide ribosomal RNA is filed under the name uncultured bacterium. RNAcentral describes it as "partial 16S ribosomal RNA". It matches the Rfam family "Bacterial small subunit ribosomal RNA", at positions 523 to 918 of the family's 1533-position model. The record is from RNAcentral.
AUACGGAGGAUGCGAGCGUUAUCCGGAUUUAUUGGGUUUAAAGGGUGCGUAGGCUGUGCGUUAAGUCAGGGGUGAAAUGCCGUCGCUCAACGACGGAGCUGCCCUUGAUACUGGCGUGCUGGAGUACGGAUGCCGUUGGAGGAAUGAGUGGUGUAGCGGUGAAAUGCUUAGAUAUCACUCAGAACACCGAUUGCGAAGGCCGCUGACGAAUCCGUCACUGACGCUGAGGCGCGAAAGUGUGGGGAUAGAACAGGAUUAGAUACCCUGGUAUUCCACGCCGUAAACGAUGAUGACUAACCGUCGGCGAUAGACAGCCGGUGGCCAAGCGAAAGCGAUAAGUCAUCCACCUGGGGAGUACGUCGGCAACGAUGAAACUCAAAUGAAUUGACGGGG